This 468-nucleotide ribosomal RNA is filed under the name uncultured bacterium. Its description in RNAcentral is "partial 16S ribosomal RNA". It matches the Rfam family "Bacterial small subunit ribosomal RNA", at positions 28 to 507 of the family's 1533-position model. The record is from RNAcentral.
GACGAACGCUGGCGGCGUGCUUAACACAUGCAAGUCGAACGGAAAUGCCCUGCUUUUGUGGGGUGCUCGAGUGGCGAACGGGUGAGUAACACGUGAGUAACUUGCCAUUGACUAUGGGAAAUCUUCAGGAAACCGGGGCUAAUACCGGAUAGGAGCUCCUGCUGCCUGGUGGGGGUUGGAAAGUUUCGGAGGUUGGGGAUGGACUCGCGGCUUAUCAGCUUGUUGGUGGGGGAGUGGCUUACCAAGGCUUUGACGGGGAGCCGGACUGAGAGGGUGACCGGGCACAUUGGGACUGGGACAGGGACCAGGCCCCGACGCGGGGGAGAAGUGGGAGUGAGUACAAUAGGAGAGGGAGCCUAACGCAGCACCGCCGCGGGCGGGAUGGCGGCCAUCGGGUUGUAGACCGCAUGCGCCUGUCACGAAGCGGAAAUGACGGUAAUGGGUAAAAAAGCACCGGCUAACUACGUG